UUGACCUCGGAUCAGGUAGGAAUACCCGCUGAACUUAAGCAUAUCAAUAAGCGGAGGAAAAGAAACCAACAGGGAUUGCCCUAGUAACGGCGAGUGAAGCGGCAACAGCUCAAAUUUGAAAUCUGGCCUCGGCCCGAGUUGUAAUUUGCAGAGGAUGUUUCUGGCGCGGUGCCUUCCGAGUUCCCUGGAACGGGACGCCACAGAGGGUGAGAGCCCCGUAUGGUUGGACACCAAGCCUGUGUGAAACUCCUUCGACGAGUCGAGUAGUUUGGGAAUGCUGCUCAAAAUGGGAGGUAAAUCUCUUCUAAAGCUAAAUACCGGCCAGAGACCGAUAGCGCACAAGUAGAGUGAUCGAAAGAUGAAAAGCACCUUGAAAAGGGGGUUAAACAGUACGUGAAAUUGUUGAAAGGGAAGCGCUUGUGACCAGACUUGCGCCGGGCGGUUCAUCCGGGGUUCUCCCCGGUGCACUCCGCCCGGGUCAGGCCAGCAUCGGUUCUCGUUGGGGGAUAAGAACGGCAGGAACGUGGCCCUCCCUCUGGGAGGGUGUUAUAGCCUGUCGUACGAUACCCUGAUGGGGACCGAGGUUCGCGCUCCGCAAGGAUGCUGGCGUAAUGGUCAUCAGCGACCCGUCUUGAAACACGGACCAAGGAGUCGUCCAUUAGAGCGAGCGUUUGGGUGUCAAACCCGCACGCGUAAUGAAAGUGAAAUUAGGUGAGAGCUUCGGCGCAUCAUCGACCGAUCCUGAUGUUCUCGGAUGGAUUUGAGUAAGAGUUUUAACGGACGGACCCGAAAGACAGUGAACUAUGCUUGUAUAGGGUGAAGCCAGAGGAAACUCUGGUGGAGGCUCGCAGCGGUUCUGACGUGCAAAUCGAUCGUCAAAUAUGAGCA
RNAcentral lists this ribosomal RNA (888 nucleotides) under Dwiroopa punicae. Its description in RNAcentral is "partial 28S ribosomal RNA". It matches the Rfam family "Eukaryotic large subunit ribosomal RNA", at positions 1 to 917 of the family's 3401-position model. The record is from RNAcentral. Lineage: Eukaryota; Fungi; Ascomycota; Sordariomycetes; Diaporthales; Dwiroopaceae.